CUUCCCUCGCCUUCUUCGGCAGCGGAGACGACCCGCCUUCCUCAGCCGCGGAGACGACCCGCCGGCCGCCCCCGCCUUCCUCAGCCGCGGAGACGACCCGCCGGCCGCCCCCGCCUUCCUCAGCCGCGGACACGACCCGCCGACCGCCCCCGAUACGGACCCUCACCCUCGCCGCGCCGAGCGCCGCCUGCUCUGGCAGCGUCCCUGCAAUAGAAGGAAUAUAAUAUACUGGCCUGAGGUUUGAGUGUUGUUGGUCACAAAACGCUUGAGACAUCUGCGCUCUAUCCCAGAUCUAUUUCCUCCUGCUGCUCUACGAUUAGCACGCAAGGAGUCCUUUCAUCUCAGAUCGUUUGGACAGCACUACUCGAUCAUAAUCUACAACCUUCGGUUUGGGGCUGGAAUACUAUCGAAUAUUUUAAGCUCGGUUAUUUGAACCAAGAUCAGUAUACAAUGAGAAUGGAACUCUUGUUGUCGCACUUUUUGACAUAUCGAAAAUGCCAUCAAGAAUAUUUGUCGUCAAAGUGUUUUCACGGCUUAUUCAAAGACAACAAGAAUGGAACUCGGGAUGUCAGUUCAAAUGUCAAAUUCUCAAAACUUUUGGAAGGCAACUUGUGGAACUUUAGGUCAUGAGGAUGGAAAACUUAUGUGCGCUUAUAAUUUCAUCAACUUUCUAGUUCCUAUUUUGAAAGUUGAUAAACAAAUCACAUCUCCAUGAGACUUUGAAUCGUAAAAGAGAAUGGAACUUGGAUUGCCACUUUAACUGUCGAAUUCCUGGAUAUUUUUGAAAGGCAACUUGUGGAAGGAAUUAGAGCUUUAGAUCACGAAGAUGGAAAACCUUUGUCGAUACUUUUCAUUCUGCAACUUUCCAGGUUUUUUUUGUUCUAUGUUCAUAGCAAAUCCAGUCUCCAAAAGGAGCUUGAAUUGUAAAUGAGAACAGAGUAUUGUGCUUGUAAUAUAUUUCUUCUUCAGAUUUCACUUUCUCGUGUAAUUGUACUUUGCUUAUUAUAUGAAUCAAUAAAGAUACUUUCUGCAAUUUCUA
Aegilops tauschii subsp. strangulata is the source of this 1039-nucleotide long non-coding RNA. RefSeq lists it as uncharacterized. Lineage: Eukaryota; Viridiplantae; Streptophyta; Magnoliopsida; Poales; Poaceae. The record is from RefSeq and is a predicted model, not a curated record.